CAGCGUUCCUGAACAGGAGCGCGUAGACUGGGUCUAAGCGCCUCUUGUUUUUUAUGUUUCGAGUAUGUAGUUGGAACGUUAGGGGGCUGCUGUUUUGGGUUUUGGCUGGUGGGUGCCUCUUGUUUUUUUAUGUUUCGAGUAUGUAGUUGGAAUGUUAGGGGGCUAAACGACCCCUCUAAACGUACUUCUGUUAGGGAUGUCAUUUCUAAGUUA
RNAcentral lists this long non-coding RNA (213 nucleotides) under Ananas comosus (pineapple). Its description in RNAcentral is "long non-coding RNA (ACOM_LNC017280)". The record is from RNAcentral. Lineage: Eukaryota; Viridiplantae; Streptophyta; Magnoliopsida; Poales; Bromeliaceae.